This is a non-coding RNA of Paramuricea clavata, 291 nucleotides long. Lineage: Eukaryota; Metazoa; Cnidaria; Anthozoa; Malacalcyonacea; Plexauridae. The record is from the annotation of a GenBank genome assembly.
AGGGGGGGGGGCAAGGGGGGAGGGGUCUCGUCACGAAAUCACGAAGAUCAUUUUUCAAUUUCACGAGUCACGAAAAACAAAAAUUUCAUUUUCACGAUUUUUAGAAACACAGAAGCGUAACAAAGUCUGAAACCAUGUAACGAUUUUCUAGACAGCAGAACUUGAUGUUAACACAAAGUCACAAACACAAGUUUACUGACUUUGACAUAUUAAAGAGCUUUUUUUAAAGACUAUGGAAUUCAUUGCGAGGCAUUACGAAACAUUACGAGCGUCUUACGAUGGUUUACGAAG